Molecule: long non-coding RNA, 3814 nt
Filed under: Lynx pardinus (Iberian lynx)
Lineage: Eukaryota; Metazoa; Chordata; Mammalia; Carnivora; Felidae
Source: RNAcentral
GGAGGGUGUCUGGAGGUGGGAAAACGGGAGUCCCAGAGUUUGGUAGCGACAGCUCUCUGCCCCUGGCCAAGUUCACUUUUGCCUAAAUUUGGCCUUGGUGGCCACAGCAACUCGGUGGCACUUAUCUUUUGGCCUGGCGUGCCCUGUUUCCUGGUUUUCCAUUUGCAGAACAGAUCUCCUAGUUGAGGGCGAGGGGUCCAGCCUGACUGAUGUGCAUUUCUGCAGUACCUGCUGCAUUCCUGGGUCUGACCUAGACGCAGGGGCAGAGUCUUCAAGGGAAAAUGCCUGGCCUUUGGGCACUUAUUGGGAGGCUGCCUGGGCCAAGUGGCAUGAGCUUUGGGCUUCCCACUUCCCUGUGGCGGGUCACUUUGAACAGGUAAGAGCCCUAAGUUCUCUAAGCCUUGGUUUUCUCAUCGGGAAAUGGGUUGAGUUGAGGAUUUAAUGAGAUAAUGCGAAUAUGACUCCUGUGGGACGUGGCGUGUAGAGCGGAGGGCACCCUGAGGCCGAGGGGCCCAUAGGUAGCAGGAGUGAUGCUCAUGCAAACAGGACCCACCACUGCCAUCUCCUUGCUGGCUACGUGCCCGAUGUGGUUCUAACCUCCUUCUACUUUUCAACCCACCCGAUCCUCAGUGACUCUGCGUGGUAGGUCUUUCAGUCCCGUUUUAGAGAUGAGGAAACUGAGGUCCAGAGAGGUACCUUGUCCAAGGUCAUACUGCCAACGAGGGGCAGAGCUGGGACUCCCAUGUGACCCCAGAUCUGCCGCUCAGUCCGGAGUUUCGGGCCCAAUUGCAGCAGGCAGCUUCCUCGCCACAGGGCAGGAACCGUGGGAGGUGGUGGGUGGACCUCUGGCCGUGGGGCACAGGGACUGUACAUUUGGGAUUUUCAAAGGAAUGAAAUCGAUAUUUAUCAAAUACUUAGUAUGAGCCGGAGUCACACACUCUUUGUGCACACCCCAGUUUUUUGUUUAAAUUCCCAGACAACUCCAUGAGAUCGAUGCCGAUAUUAUCUGCAUCUUACAAGAGGACAGUGAGGCUCAGAGAGGCAAAGUUCCUUUCCCAGAGGCACACAGCCUGUGGGGGGGGGGGCGAGGGGAGGAGAGGGGAAUGGGGGCAAAGGGGUGUGGGUGAUUCCACAGCCUGCGAUCUUUGCCCCGAACCCGAUGUGGGAAAACGUCAUCCCAGCACCCUUUGAAUACAUUCUUAGCAAGUCACGUGACCCCCAUCUGGGUCAGCAAAGGAGGUCUCAAAAGACUAGCCUUUCCCGCCUCCUGAUGCUGACCCCGCCCCCUAGGCUUGGAGGGCUCUAGGACCCAGCAGCUGGGGAGGGUGGACUGUGUGUGUGUGUGUGUGUGUGUGUGUGUGUGUGUGUGUGUGUGUGUGUGUUGGGGGGGUCCCCUCAUCUUCAGGUCCCUCCUCCUCCCUCUCUCCAGCCUUUCCCUUUCUCCCCCACCUCUUCCCCCUUUCCUCCCCUCCCCCUCUUCAUCCCUCCCCUUUCUUCUCUUCCCUCCCCUCUUCUCCUUCCCCAGCCCCUCCCCCUCCCUCACCCCUCCCACCUCGGUGGUCACAUGGGGGGCACCGCCGGAUUUAAGCCUAAUCUGCCCUGUGCUCAGCACAGCGGUCUGGCUGUGGGGUGGGAGAGCUGAGCUAGUCUCUGGGGCCCUGGAGAAGGGCCUGGAGGGGGGUGCCCACAGCUCCCCCCUCCAUGAGCUUGGGGCUGGAGGAAUCGGUGGAGGCCCAGCUGGCACUGGAGACGGUUAUCCAGGUGGGUCCUGAGGACUGUGCCCACCCUGUCCGGGGCAGGGGAGCAUGGGUCUAGCAGGAAUGGAUGAGUGGUAGGUACAUCUUGGGGUCAUGGGGUGGGAGGGGUGGGUGGGAGGGUGCACGGGGGCCCCAGCUUGCAACUCCCAGCCGGACUGGGGGUACAGAGGUGCUCAGAGCAAAACUGCUUUGGCCCCCUUAUCCCAGGGCCCUGUGGGAAAAGGGGAUCCCUGCUCCCAGAUUUAAGGGUUGAGGUGACAUCUGCUAGCACAGUGGAAUCCUCUGGGAUUGGAGGGUUGGAGCUGGACUGGAACCCCCAGCCCUGUGCUGCCCCGAUGGGUUUUGUGAGCGAGCCAUGCGGUUUGGUUCGCUUCUCUGGCCCUCCAUGGGGCCUCCUUCCCGGGGCAGGAGGCACUGAAGCGUGCCCUCCCGUGGGGCGUUUUUCCAUUGUAGCUCCCAGGCUUCCCUCCGCAUGGGGGCUUCCUGAGGGUCUCACGGGCCCCCACAUCUUGGGCAGCAGGACUUUGUUCCUCUCCCAUCCAGGCCAGGGAGACCAGGGCCCCCAGUCCCCUUCACACUCUCUCUCUCCCCCCCUACAGACCCUGGAGAGCAGCGUCCUGAGGGCAGGCCGGGAGAAGGGCCUGAGCGAGCAGGACCCUGCCCAGGACUCUCAGCUCGCCUGCCUACCUGCCCGCAUCAGGGAGAUCAUCACCUGCAACCUCUCCCAGCCUGAGAACCAAGGUGCCGCUCUUCAUUCGCCCCCACAGACACUGCCUGCACCUCACCCCUUCUCACAUCCCCCUCUUCCACGGCCGUAAUGACAGGAGUGACCGCAGCUUCCAUUUCUCAAAUACUCACUGUGAGGCGGGCACAACCCUGUGAUGGAGGGACCCAUUUUACAGAUGGGGAAAUGGAGGCUCAGAGGUAUAGUUUGCCCAGAGUCGUUCUCCAUGUGACGCUGCGAGACAGUGGGGAUGAGCACCCCCACCCGCAGCUCACAGCAGAGACUUAGACCCAAAUACCACGUUCUCUCCCAGGGAAGGUGUGAGCUUGGCCGAACCCCAGAUUACAGGGGGAGGGCAGCUCAGUUUAGCUCAGGGCUCUGCAGAAGUCCCAGGGAUGGUCCUGUCCAUUCCCCAGCAGGGCAGAGAGGCUGAUGGGCCCCUGUUCCUCCUGCUGGGUGCCGUCCACAACCUCCUGUGUGGUUUGAGAGUCUGGGAAGGGCACACUCAGUUACAGCUGGCGUGUGGGCAGCUCUCCUUGGUGGUGAUUCUGGGGCUCCGCCACAGUCCUUGUCCAACCUCUUUGGGACGACCAGGGGUGUUGGGGCCCCUGGGAGCCCCAGGCAAGGAGAGACUUAGAGAACCCUCACCUCAGGCUGAAAGAGCCUGGAGACCUGUGGCGUGUGUCCAGUUCUCCUGGGAUGGAAGGGGAGCCCACAGGGCGGGGGACACUUCGACUUCUCCCUUUGUCCCCCUCUUCCUCUUCCUCCUCCUCCUCCCAACAUGACCUAUACUAUCUGAAGCCCUGGCUUCAGAGGUUACAUGAAGCCCUUCCCUUAAGUGAGGUCUUCCUGGUCUCCCGUUUACCAAUUCCACCCAGGUUACAGAUCAGCAAAACUGAGGCCCAGAGAAGAGUUCUGGGCCCGCUGGGGCCACCCUUCGGCGGUGUCUGGGUCCGCUCUGAGUCUAGCCCUAGGCCUGUCUCUUUGCCCACCUUCCUGUUCUUAUCUCUGUUUGCGUGCUCUGGUGCUGACGUCCUCUCUCAGGGGCCCAGUCCCUCUUCCUGCCUCCAGUGAUGUUUGUAGAGCACCUAUCGUGGGAGGGUGUCCUCCUGGACCCGGGGGGGCGGGGGGGGGGGGGGGAAGGAAGCCAACCAUGUGCCUGCUGUCCCUCUCCAGCCCCGCUGCCGGCCGCGGAGAUGGCAUCAGUGCUGUCGCUGCAGGAGGAAAACCAGCUGCUGCAGCAGGAACUGUCCCGCGUGGAGGACCUGCUGGCCCAGAGCCGGGCGGAGCGUGACGAGCUGGCCAUCAAGUACAACGCGGUCAGCGAGAGGGU